GGAGGGACCGUCGGGGGGCGCCGCCGCCGCCUCCACUAGCAGCAGCGGCAGCAGCCCUAGUCCCGCGGUGCGGUCGAAUUGGUCCCCAGCCCUCCGGGAGCGCACCACAAAGCAGCCCCAACGCCUCUCCCUGCGUCCGCGGCUCCUCAGCGCUCGGCUCCGUGGUCAACUUCCCCUCGCUGGGCUCGGCUGGCGGGCGCGGAGGGCAGCGGCGGAACGGCGGGCUGUCUGCUCGCGCUCCCCGCGCACAACACUUCACCCUCUCGCCUCGGGUCUCGGGGGCCGCUCUGGGAUCCCGGCCACCAGCAAUUGUCCGGAAACAAGUUAAUACGCCCGUUUCCCUAAGUGGGUAAACUGAGGUCGUGAAAAGCUCUCAAAUUGAUGGAUACGCUUGAUCUUCUACCGCGCCUCGUGUCUGAGUAUAUGAAAGCGUUUAUGAGGAAGAACCCGUUCUCCAAAGCCCCGUGGAAAAGUUAAAGAUGCUCAUUUUACUUACAGGUUAACUGAAGUCCAAAAGAUGUCUAGG
This 526-nucleotide long non-coding RNA is filed under the name Homo sapiens (human). Its description in RNAcentral is "non-protein coding lnc-VPS54-4:2". Lineage: Eukaryota; Metazoa; Chordata; Mammalia; Primates; Hominidae. The record is from RNAcentral.